AUUGAACGCUGGCGGCAUGCUUUACACAUGCAAGUCGAACGGCAGCGCGGGCUUCGGCCUGGCGGCGAGUGGCGAACGGGUGAGUAAUACAUCGGAACGUGCCCAGUAGUGGAGGAUAGCUCGGCGAAAGCCGGAUUAAUACCGCAUACGACCUGAGGGUGAAAGCGGGGGAUCUUCGGACCUCGCGCUAUUGGAGCGGCCGAUGGCAGAUUAGCUAGUUGGUGGGGUAAAGGCCUACCAAGGCGACGAUCUGUAGCUGGUCUGAGAGGACGACCAGCCACACUGGGACUGAGACACGGCCCAGACUCCUACGGGAGGCAGCAGUGGGGAAUUUUGAACAAUGGGCGAAAGCCUGAUCCAGCAAUGCCGCGUGUGUGAUGAAGGCCUUCGGGUUGUAAAGCACUUUUGGCGGGAACGAAAAGGACUGUGCCAAUACCACGGUUCGAUGACGGUACCCGCAGAAUAAGCACCGGCUAACUACGUG
This 484-nucleotide ribosomal RNA is filed under the name uncultured bacterium. RNAcentral's name for it is "partial 16S ribosomal RNA". It matches the Rfam family "Bacterial small subunit ribosomal RNA", at positions 29 to 507 of the family's 1533-position model. The record is from RNAcentral.